RNAcentral lists this microRNA precursor (145 nucleotides) under Amborella trichopoda. RNAcentral's name for it is "miR319d stem-loop (atr-MIR319d, atr-MIR319e)". Its record names the gene atr-MIR319d. The stretch from base 27 to 125 matches the Rfam family "MIR319 microRNA precursor family". The record is from miRBase by way of RNAcentral. Lineage: Eukaryota; Viridiplantae; Streptophyta; Magnoliopsida; Amborellales; Amborellaceae.
GAGUCUUCAAGUAAAAAGGAAAAAUGCAAAAAUGGGAGCUCCUUUGAGGACAAAGAAAGCACUUUGGAUCGUCUUUUUGCUCAUUGAAGAGUCAUCCUUUGGACUGAAGGGAGCUCCUAAUUCUUCUCUUUUUAUCCUCACCCUC